RNAcentral lists this ribosomal RNA (433 nucleotides) under uncultured bacterium. RNAcentral's name for it is "partial 16S ribosomal RNA". It matches the Rfam family "Bacterial small subunit ribosomal RNA", at positions 29 to 507 of the family's 1533-position model. The record is from RNAcentral.
AGCGAACGCUGGCGGCAGGCUUAACACAUGCAAGUCGAGCGGGCCUUUCGGGGUCAGCGGCGGACGGGUGAGUAACGCGUGGGAACGUGCCCUCUGGUUCGGAAUAACUCAGGGAAACUUGAGCUAAUACCGGAUACGCCCUUUUGGGGAAAGGCCUGCUGCCGGAGGAUCGGCCCGCGUCUGAUUAGCUAGUUGGUGAGGUAACGGCUCACCAAGGCGACGAUCAGUAGCUGGUCUGAGAGGAUGAUCAGCCACACUGGGACUGAGACACGGCCCAGACUCCUACGGGAGGCAGCAGUGGGGAAUAUUGGACAAUGGGCGCAAGCCUGAUCCAGCCAUGCCGCGUGAGUGAUGAAGGCCUUAGGGUUGUAAAGCUCUUUUAUCCGGGACGAUAAUGACGGUACCGGAGGAAUAAGCCCCGGCUAACUUCGUG